GACGAACGCUGGCGGCGUGCUUAACACAUGCAAGUCGAACGGAAAGGCCCUGCUUUUGUGGGGUGCUCGAGUGGCGAACGGGUGAGUAACACGUGAGUAACCUGCCCUUGACUUUGGGAUAACUUCAGGAAACUGGGGCUAAUACCGGAUAGGAGCUCCUGCUGCAUGGUGGGGGUUGGAAAGUUUCGGCGGUUGGGGAUGGACUCGCGGCUUAUCAGCUUGUUGGUGGGGUAGUGGCUUACCAAGGCUUUGACGGGUAGCCGGCCUGAGAGGGUGACCGGCCACAUUGGGACUGAGAUACGGCCCAGACUCCUACGGGAGGCAGCAGUGGGGAAUAUUGCACAAUGGGCGGAAGCCUGAUGCAGCAACGCCGCGUGCGGGAUGACGGCCUUCGGGUUGUAAACCACUUUCGCCUGUGACGAAGCGUGAGUGACGGUAAUGGGUAAAGAAGCACCGGCUAACUACGUGCCAGCAGCCGCGGUGAUACGUAGGGUGCGAGCGUUGUCCGGAUUUAUUGGGCGUAAAGGGCUCGUAGGUGGUUGAUCGCGUCGGAAGUGUAAUCUUGGGGCUUAACCCUGAGCGUGCUUUCGAUACGGGUUGACUUGAGGAAGGUAGGGGGAGAAAUGAAUUUCCUGGGGGAGCGGUGGAAUGCGCAGAUAUCAGGAGGAACACCAGUGGCGAAGGCGGUUCUCUGGGCCUUUCCUGACGCUGAGGAGCGAAAGCGUGGGGAGCGAACAGGCUUAGAUACCCUGGUAGUCCACGCUGUAAACGGUGGGUACUAGGUGUGGGGUCCAUUCCACGGGUUCCGUGCCGUAGCUAACGCUUUAAGUACCCCGCCUGGGGAGUACGGCCGCAAGGCUAAAACUCAAAGGAAUUGACGGGGCCCCGCACAAGCGGCGGAGCAUGCGGAUUAAUUCGAUGCAACGCGUAGAACCUUACCUGGGUUUGACAUGGAUCGGGAGCGCUCAGAGAUGGGUGUGCCUCUUUUGGGGUCGGUUCACAGGUGGUGCAUGGCUGUCGUCAGCUCGUGUCGUGAGAUGUUGGGUUAAGUCCCGCAACGAGCGCAACCCUUGUUCACUGUUGCCAGCACGUUAUGGUGGGGACUCAGUGGAGACCGCCGGGGUCAACUCGGAGGAAGGUGGGGAUGACGUCAAGUCAUCAUGCCCCUUAUGUCCAGGGCUUCACGCAUGCUACAAUGGCUGGCACAGAGAGUGGCGAGCCUGUGAGGGUGAGCGAAUCUCGGAAAGCCGGUCUCAGUUCGGAUUGGGGUCUGCAACUCGACCUCAUGAAGUCGGAGUCGCUAGUAAUCGCAGAUCAGCAACGCUGCGGUGAAUACGUUCCCGGG
Molecule: ribosomal RNA, 1345 nt
Filed under: uncultured bacterium
Lineage: Bacteria
Description: 16S ribosomal RNA
Rfam family: Bacterial small subunit ribosomal RNA
Source: RNAcentral